RNAcentral lists this small RNA (327 nucleotides) under Pongo abelii (Sumatran orangutan). RNAcentral's name for it is "processed transcript". Lineage: Eukaryota; Metazoa; Chordata; Mammalia; Primates; Hominidae. The record is from RNAcentral.
GCCAAGUGUUUGUGAAGAACAGCAAGUGACUGUGGUUGGACUUGCACACCCAUGUGUUUGGGCAUUCACACACAUUGUCAAGCUCUGCAAACAAGGCUGUACUGGCUCAAGUUGGUGUGUGAGCUAUGAAAGAAGCUAUCGCUGCAGUGGGAACUUGUUUCAAUGGAAGAAAAUGCUCAGAUGGUGAAGGCCAGUAGUGCCAGCGUUCAGAGGGAUUUCAUGGACCCCACUGUCAAUAACAGUCCUCUUUUCCAUCUUCUAAUUCCUGUGGAUCUGUCCUGUAGCCUUUCCAUGCUAUCCUCAGGCUCAUCUGUUUUCUGAAGAUGG